GACGAACGCUGGCGGCGUGCCUAAUACAUGCAAGUAGAACGCUGAAGGAGGAGCUUGCUUCUCUGGAUGAGUUGCGAACGGGUGAGUAACGCGUAGGUAACCUGCCUGGUAGCGGGGGAUAACUAUUGGAAACGAUAGCUAAUACCGCAUAAGAGUAGAUGUUGCAUGACAUUUGCUUAAAAGGUGCAAUUGCAUCACUACCAGAUGGACCUGCGUUGUAUUAGCUAGUUGGUGGGGUAACGGCUCACCAAGGCGACGAUACAUAGCCGACCUGAGAGGGUGAUCGGCCACACUGGGACUGAGACACGGCCCAGACUCCUAUGGGAGGCAGCAGUAGGGAAUCUUCGGCAAUGGACGGAAGUCUGACCGAGCAACGCCGCGUGAGUGAAGAAGGUUUUCGGAUCGUAAAGCUCUGUUGUAAGAGAAGAACGAGUGUGAGAGUGGAAAGUUCACACUGUGACGGUAUCUUACCAGAAAGGGACGGCUAACUACGUG
Molecule: ribosomal RNA, 495 nt
Filed under: uncultured bacterium
Lineage: Bacteria
Description: partial 16S ribosomal RNA
Rfam family: Bacterial small subunit ribosomal RNA
Source: RNAcentral